GCCCGCCUAGCUCAAUCGGUAGAGCGUCAGACUCUUAGGUCCAGGCGGGUCAAUACCUCUCCAACGGUAUCUGAAGGCUGUGGGUUCGACCCCCACGGUGGGCU
This is a non-coding RNA of Mycena galopus ATCC 62051, 104 nucleotides long. NCBI's taxonomy places the organism in Eukaryota, Fungi, Basidiomycota, Agaricomycetes, Agaricales, Mycenaceae. The record is from the annotation of a GenBank genome assembly.